RNAcentral lists this unclassified non-coding RNA (247 nucleotides) under Hevea brasiliensis (rubber tree). Lineage: Eukaryota; Viridiplantae; Streptophyta; Magnoliopsida; Malpighiales; Euphorbiaceae. The record is from RNAcentral.
UAAGAAUCAAUUUUCAGGGUGUACAAAUUGAAUUGAUUAAAGAGAGCACAUUAGAACAAUGAAACUACAAAAUAACCCAACUCAACUAAGGACUUAAAACUUUCAAUGAUUAUAAUAUUAUAUUUUACCCAGUAUGUAAAAGAUGCAUAACAGAAACAUUCCUACCAACAGUUGGAAUGUUGAACAGCUGCUUAUGUGACAUAACAGUUGCAGAUUCGAAUUGCAAAUACUUUAGCAAGCAUAAAAA